Trichechus manatus latirostris (Florida manatee) is the source of this 128-nucleotide small nucleolar RNA. RefSeq annotates it as small nucleolar RNA SNORA32. The transcript has a single exon. Lineage: Eukaryota; Metazoa; Chordata; Mammalia; Sirenia; Trichechidae. The record is from RefSeq and is a predicted model, not a curated record.
UGGUCAUUACCAAGGAUUUUAGAACACCAUUUCUGAGUACUGUGUACUUGACCAUUAAAAAAAAAAAAAAAUUCCCACUAGGUUUUCUCUUUGCUACCUUGCUAGCAUUCAACCAAUUGGGAACAUUU